Molecule: ribosomal RNA, 305 nt
Filed under: uncultured bacterium
Lineage: Bacteria
Description: bacterial SSU rRNA
Rfam family: Bacterial small subunit ribosomal RNA
Source: RNAcentral
UCCUACGGGGCGCAGCAGUGGGGAAUAUUGCACAAUGGGGGAAACCCUGAUGCAGCGACGCCGCGUGAGUGAGGAAGUAUUUAGGUAUGUAAAGCUCUAUCAGCAGGGAAGAAAAUGUCGGUACCUGACUAAGAAGCCCCGGCUAACUACGUGCCAGCAGCCGCGGUAAUACGUAGGGGGCAAGCGUUAUCCGGAUUUACUGGGUGUAAAGGGAGCGUAGACGGAUAAGCAAGUCUGAUGUGAAAAUCCGGGGCCCAACCCCGGAAUUGCAUUGGAAACUGCAUAUCUAGAGUGUCGGAGAGGCA